Molecule: long non-coding RNA, 3141 nt
Organism: Magallana angulata
Lineage: Eukaryota; Metazoa; Mollusca; Bivalvia; Ostreida; Ostreidae
Exons: 8
Source: RefSeq, a predicted model, not a curated record
UAAACCUUGUUUUGCUAUUUUAAAUUGUUAACUUUAGUUACAAUUCUGUCUUAGUCUAUGAAUUCAUUAUUUUAAUCAGUUAAUUAUAGUUGUUUUUGUAUAUUGAUUCAUAACUGACACCUGCGGCCUUUGCACUUUAUUUCUUUUUACAAAGUCGGAAAUAGUUGUUCCGUUGUUGGUUCUUGAGUUUAAAAUUUGUUUACUGCACAGCGAUGCAACAGUUAACUUUUAUAUCUGCAAUCGUCCCAAAUCUUUUGGACUGGACAUUGCAAAACGGGUCCUCACACUGCAAGCGAGUUAUAGAAUUCCCCCUAUACAAGCGUAGUCAAAAACACGACACGACAGUAUUAUGAGCAUUCAACAGUCUUAAGCAAAUUUUAUGAUCCGUUUUGAUCACCAAGGUAAUGAGCUAGAUUCUUUGAAACGAGAUGUACAUGGUCAACAUGGAAUCGAAAAUCGUUUGCAAGAGCAGGCAAACGACGUUACGUACGACGUAACUGAGUUAUCGGACAAUCAGCGUAAAAUGCACCGAGAGAUGGAACGAAAGCGCGACUACAUUAUCAGAUUGGAACAGAAAAUUCACAAAGCGGAAAGAUCAGUGAACUCUUAAUGAGAUCAAUGGAUUGCAAUAUUAUUGUAUCCGGUGUUGAAGAUAAGAGAGGUGAAAAUUUAGCAUUAACGCUAAACUCUGUGUUCAAGAAAGAGCUAUAAUUAACAGAAACACAGAUGAACGAUAUAAGAAUAUCGAAGUACUAUCGAAUGGGCCAAUUCAACGAUAAACAGAAGUCACCCAGACCAAUAUUUGUCCAAGUGUCGGACCCCAUACACGAAGAAGCGAUAACGAAGACCGUGUACAAGCUGAAGGAGAAGAAAUCCCCAGUACGGAUCAGCCAGCAACUACCCGAAGCGAAACGAGAACAUAGGAUCCGCCUAUACGAAAUCCAGUCACAGUACGCAAAGAAAAACAUUAUAACAGUGGUCAAGCGGGAUAGACUGGUUUUUCUAACGGCACAACAUACCGGGACAAAACGGGCGGACGACCACAAGCAGACGAGAUACUGGUGGCAGACGAGGACACAAAGGAUUACGCCUCCGGUGAUAUCAUCGAAGAUAACGGUAACCGUUUCGAAGCUCGAGCCGUACAGGUAAAGACACAACGAGAGGUAAGUAAAGAACUGGUUAAUUUGCUACGCCUACCCAAUGUGUCUACCGCAACACAUAAUGUGUAUGCCUAUCGUUUCGUGAACCAGGACGGUGUCAACCAAGAGGGAUCAGAGGAUAAUGACGAACACGGCGCGGGACGUACGCUCCUACGGACGCUUAGAAAAAAUAACGUGCAAAACGCUAUGGUACUCGCGUCCAGUUUCACGAUACGUUUUUUCGAAGCAAUUAGCAAUAUAUUAAUUUUUCUGAUUCCAUUCAGAAUCAGUUUUUUAUUGAAAUUAUCGGAACAAAUAUCGGUCUAACUAAUGUAGGUAAUUUCAAGUAAAUUUCUCCCACCGUUACCAAAUUAUGACAGUUUAACUUGUACCACUAAUUGGUCAUAUUUUACUAAGAAAUGGAGAGCAAUGCAAGCUAUUCCCCAAGGGAGAUCAAUCCUCAUAUUCUCCGGCUUAUCUGCUCCUAUUCGUAAUUGCUAGUGAUAUGAUGUUCAUUAUUAAUUAGCAGACCUGCUGUGCUAAUUUGGCAUUGAUUUAAGACAUAUUAGUUGUCUACAGUAAAAUUGUGCAAAAUCGGCCAUCUUGACCACAUCGGAUGACUACGUCAGGUACCAUUUUAUUUUCUUCAUUUUAGAAAAGAAUUGGACAAUGACAUUAAUGUAUUGAUGAGCGGUGAUAAGGAGAUGGACGUUGUGAAUGUUUUAGUGCAUUUUAUACAUAUAUUUCACAGUAUUUUUUUCGUAUUUACAAAAAGAACGUAACUAGUGUCUACACUGCAAUGUUAAUUUUAUUUUUUGUGAGGUUUAACAUCUAGGGUACGCAUUGGUUUCAUCGAUUUUCAGUUACUAUUAUAUGUUAUCUACAAUCUGUAAAAAUUCCAUCGUUUUUUGAUGUGUUGAUUUCUGUUGCUGAAUUUUACAAAAUUAUGUGGCAUGGGAUACCGACCUAAAAAAUUCGAAAUUCUCUUAUAACAGUAAAGAUACAUGCUAUUUUAAGUGAAUUUUAGUUUUAUCUUUUUAAUUUAAUUAUCAUUCAUAAGAAUGCAUUCAAUAUUGAACACAUUUAUGCAUGUUUCACAUUUUUAUAAUAACAUUGAAGUGGUAAAAUUUCAAAGACAGUUGUGAAAUUUGAGUUAUCUCCCUUUUCUCAUAGUCUGUUUCAAAUUGUUAUUUCAGAUUGUUGAUAUUGAAUUUGUUUACUAUAUAGUACAUCAUUGGAUUUGAUCACAGUAUUUACGAUACCCUUGUUUAUCCUGUGGACUUUUUCUGAUGUUCAUGUGCAUGUGAACAUUUAUACAGUUGUACAACUAUAUUAAGGUCCAGUAUUGGCAAGACGAUUGUGAAAGAGACGAAGAUUUAUAUGAAUUGACAGAGCAAGAAUUCAAAUCAGACUUAAGAGAAGGAAAUUUAUUCAUAAUAAAUAACACUGAUCUAGACCACUGCUACGGCAUACCUUGAAACAGACUAUAAAGGUGGAAUUGCUAGAGAUAGUAAGCUUAUUUGACAAAACUAAAAUCACCUUGCAAAGUUUUAUUUAGAACAUACUGGAUAAAAUAUUCAACGAGUUUGGAGGGCUUCAGUAUGGAUAUAAGAGCAAUUGUCGGAAUAGUAAUCGGCGGUGUUUUUGUCGUAGCGUCUUUGGUUGCCUGGAUAUAUGGUAAACUUUCGAAGAAGGCUUCCGUGCAACCAGAUGAACAGCGAUCGGCUCGGUCGGACGAGCAACAAUCCCCGUGAAAUUGUUGACGUUCAUAUUAUCAUAUAUGAAUAGAUCUCAAAAUUUAAUGCAUGUGUUUAUAGUAUAUCCAAGAAAUAAAAUAAGAAUAUGUUUGAACUUAUUUUUUUAACGCUAGAGAGGAUGAAUGAUGACAGAAAUUAUAAUGUGACGUAAUUACAGGGAAUAUGAUAUAAUGUAACUAUUAUUUCAAAGAUAUUUUUUCCAAUAUAAUCUGCAUGUAUGAGAAAUUAAAAACUAUAAUUUGUUC